This 483-nucleotide ribosomal RNA is filed under the name uncultured bacterium. RNAcentral describes it as "partial 16S ribosomal RNA". It matches the Rfam family "Bacterial small subunit ribosomal RNA", at positions 28 to 523 of the family's 1533-position model. The record is from RNAcentral.
GACGAACGCUGGCGGCGUGCUUAACACAUGCAAGUCGAACGAUGAAGCCGGAGCUUGCUCUGGUGAAUUAGUGGCGAACGGGUGAGUAACACGUGAGUAACCUGCCCUUGACUCUGGGAUAACUGCGGGAAACUGUAGCUAAUACCGGAUACGACCCUCGGAGGCAUCUCCUGGGGGUGGAAAGAAUUUCGGUCAAGGAUGGACUCGCGGCCUAUCAGCUAGUUGGUGAGGUAAAGGCUCACCAAGGCGACGACGGGUAGCCGGCCUGGGAGGGUGACCGGCCCAACUGGGACUGAGACACGGCCAGACUCCUACGGGAGGCAGCAGUGGGGAAUAUUGCACAAUGGGCGCAAGCCUGAUGCAGCAACGCCGCGUGAGGGAUGACGGCCUUCGGGUUGUAAACCUCUUUUAGCAGGGAAGAAGCGAAAGUGACGGUACCUGCAGAAAAAGCACCGGCUAACUACGUGCCAGCCGCCGCGGUAA